Molecule: ribosomal RNA, 468 nt
Filed under: uncultured bacterium
Lineage: Bacteria
Description: partial 16S ribosomal RNA
Rfam family: Bacterial small subunit ribosomal RNA
Source: RNAcentral
GACGAACGCUGGCGGCGUGCUUAACACAUGCAAGUCGAACGGAAAGGCCCUGCUUUUGUGGGGUGCUCGAGUGGCGAACGGGUGAGUAACACGUGAGUAACCUGCCCUUGACUUUGGGAUAACUUCAGGAAACUGGGGCUAAUACCGGAUACGAGCUCCUGCUGCAUGGUGGGGGUUGGAAAGUUUCGGCGGUUGGGGAUGGACUCGCGGCUUAUCAGCUUGUUGGUGGGGUAGUGGCUUACCAAGGCUUUGACGGGUAGCCGGCCUGAGAGGGUGACCGGCCACAUUGGGACUGAGAUACGGCCCAGACUCCUACGGGAGGCAGCAGUGGGGAAUAUUGCACAAUGGGCGGAAGCCUGAUGCAGCAACGCCGCGUGCGGGAUGACGGCCUUCGGGUUGUAAACCGCUUUCGCCUGUGACGAAGCGUGAGUGACGGUAAUGGGUAAAGAAGCACCGGCUAACUACGUG